Long non-coding RNA from Triticum dicoccoides, 3129 nucleotides. RefSeq lists it as uncharacterized. NCBI's taxonomy places the organism in Eukaryota, Viridiplantae, Streptophyta, Magnoliopsida, Poales, Poaceae. The record is from RefSeq and is a predicted model, not a curated record. The transcript is spliced from 4 exons.
GCGUACGCGUCGUCCAAGCCCAAGAAUAGAACGAGGCGUCGCAGCAGGGGUUGUCUGCGGUCCACGUGAGCGAGGCGAGGGGCGGCCCGAGACGGUCGAUAGUGGCGCUGUCGUCGUUGUCCGCGAGGUAGAGGGUGGCGGCGCCGGUCGCAGGGAGGACGGGGGCACCGGCGGCUGGUGAACUCGGAGGCUGCGGCUGCGCGACGACGUCCGUGGUGGUGGUGACAACUACGGCGAUGCGACCACGAUGCGGCAGGGUAUGGAGGCUUCCUCGCCUGGGCUCGGGCGCGUCAGCACGGCGUCGGGCCGUUGCCGGUGGCGUCGAGGCCGGCUCACGCACGGACAGGGCGCCCAAGGGUGAGCCGCCGCGGCGUGUGGGCGGGCUGAGCCGGGCGUUCCACCACGAUGCGGCGGGGAUGAAAGCCGCCUCGCCGGGGCUUGUGGGGCAGCACGGCGUCGGGCCGUUGAGCAGAUCUUCUCCAUCCUCGAGUCCAACUUCCUGUUUGGCGCGCAGGCGCUGGAGCCGGCAGGGGCAUGCUCUGCGGGGCGCGCUCGCCGCGGCCGUGCUGGUAAGGCUCGAGCGCGGACUGCGGGAGCUGUCCGGGAACCCCGAGGCCCGCGUAGUGGACUAUUUCAAGCAGGGUCCGGCGCCGGAUGGUUCCUGGCGGCUGCGUUGUUCGCGCGCCGGAUGCCGGCGGAGGCGGCGUGCGACGUCGUGGCCAAGAACCGCAAGGUGUUCUCCGGGCGCCACGGCCGCGGUGGGUUCUUCUCCGGGGCCGAUGCAGGUUUUGGAAUUGCUUGAAGUUGUACAGUUCAGAUGUCCAUACACUUCAAUGUAAUACCCUCAGCUGCUUUCCAAUCUGAGAGUUGAAUCGAAGAUUGAAGAGAUCCUACGGAAUUCUGCAACAUCUGAAUUUGGUAGUGUAUAUUAUUUUUCGGAGAGAGGUGAUCGACUGAUUGAUCUUGAUGUGUUCCAUCAAAAGCUUAUCUAGGUUGCUUGUUCAGUCUUGUUCAUAUUGGGUUUGAGAUUAUUAUGUUCUUCAAGUUGCUUCUCUUGAUGUUCAGAUGUCUCAAGAACUGCGCACACAAUUGAGCGAGUCUGAGAAAGGAGAGCUAAAAGGAUCGUUCCAUCAUAUGCUGAAAUGGGCCUGGAGAUAUAAUAAAUAUCUUGAAGAACAGGCAGCCCAGCUUCACAUGUUAACUAGCUGGUCGAAAAUUGUUGAAGUGAGUUGUGUGUGUGCAUGACCACUUAAUCUUUUCUGUUGGGAAUUUCAUAUUGUAACCCGCUUAUUGUUAAUUUCAGGUAGUUGUAUCAAGAAGUAAUAAUUUUAAGACAUUGAAGUUCAGAACCUCUAUUGAAACUCUUUCGUAGUAUUAUAUGAACUUCUGUAUUUGAACUCUUUCAUAGACGUUUAUACUGAGGUUGCUCUUCUAUAGACAUUUAUAGAGGUUGCUCUUUUAUAGACAUUUCGAAGCAAGCCGCUAAGCCCAAGUCUCGAAUCAGGAUUGUCGUCGUUCGUCAGUUCCAAUGCAGCUAGGACAUUGUGGCGGCAACGGUGGGAUUUGGGUCGGCGAGCUGCAGGGAUUUGCUGGACGCGCGCCAUCACAUGUCGAGCCACACAUAGUGACCGAUGGUGGCGGAUUAGAGUUGGAAUCCAAGAGGUUUGUGUGGUUUCAGUUAUCCGGUGAUUGGGCAAGAGCGGAGCAACAGAGGCCGGCCAAGAACAUGACCAGGGAUAACACAUCUUGCUCGAUUUCCCGAGCGACCCAAGGUUGGUUGCAUCCUGCAUGACCUCAUAUUGUUUAUGAGAGUUUUGUGAUGUUCUUUCUUUAGAGAAGUUUUGUGAUCUUAAUUCAUGAGACAUUUGACGUGAUACUAUGUGGCUGUAAACGUAAUCUGCAAUUCAGAGCAAACAGAGUGAACAAACCAAGGACAUGAAGGUUAGUCCGUUAGUGUCUUACUUUUCUUUUUGUAAUUCUAUCGUACUGUAUAGUUAGUACAAAAUCAUCAAAUAUUCAGGAUAUGUUUACAAUUUUGUGAAACUGAAAUGUGCAACAUGUUCAGUGGACUGGUGAAUUAUAAUUUUGUGAAACUGAAAUGUGUUACUGAAACCUGACCGGUGAUGAACUAACCGAUUCACACAAGGGCUUGCUGAUAACAACUUGAGUUGGCCGAGUCUCGCCGAGUUGAGCGUGGAGUAGAAGGUGUCGAGUGAACUUGAGUCAGUGUCAUUCGCUGUAAUGAUCGCCCGGGCGGCCUUGUAGCUGUCUCAGAUGGAGUUCAGGGGAAAGACCAAGAGGAGGUGCGAUAAGAUUGAGCUUUCCAGAAUUUUGGGGAGGUGGCGCUUGUCGCACUGCAAAACUUUUAUUUGUAUAUGUUGCAUGCUACUACCUCCUAAUCAAUAUGUCAUUGAAAUGAAGUAGAUGCAGCUCUUCAUAGAUAUUGUCACAUGUUCUGGUUUGCAGGUUAAAUAUUUGAUGCCCUCGUUUUGGUAAUGAGAGCAAUGCAAUAUUCUGAAGGUCACACAUGUGAGGGAAACUGGCACGUGUCUAUCUCUUAAGCUGGAAACUGCAAUUUGUGUUCUGAGCUAUGAGCUCCAAAUAAAUUAGUUUUCUCUGUUCUUCAAGUUGUUAUCUUAUUUUAGGAUUGGCAUCACUAAUAAUGCGGAGGGGUUUUUCCGUUCAAUAAAAUAUUAAAUUCCAAAUUCGUUACCAGUUUCUAUAAGUAUUGUACUGUUUUGUUAGCUUGUUGUUUGCCAUUUAUAUUAAUUUCCAUUCUUACCCACUUCCUCUGAUUGUAGCUCUUUGUGUGAAUCGGUUAGUUCAUCACCAGUCAGGUUUUUUAAAAUUUCAGGUAAGUAAAUUGAUAUGCAAUGUACAAUCAAUUGAUGAAUUGAUAAUUUGGUGUAGCAUGGAGAUCGAUCUCAUUGGUACAUAUAUUCUUCAGUUGGAAUAAGGCAAUCUGUGUGUUGUCUAUAAUCUCACACUUGAGUUUUGAGCACUGUUCUCACCUUCUUUACUUGAUAAAAAAAUCAUUAUUCAACUUUGUUCUCUCAUGAUCACAUCGCAAGUUGUAUGGAUAUACUUUAAUAAUACAUUGCCCCAAAAGGUAAUUGGCUUUGACGUUCA